This 91-nucleotide microRNA precursor is filed under the name Medicago truncatula (barrel medic). RNAcentral describes it as "MIR5298 microRNA precursor family". It matches the Rfam family "MIR5298 microRNA precursor family". Lineage: Eukaryota; Viridiplantae; Streptophyta; Magnoliopsida; Fabales; Fabaceae. The record is from Rfam by way of RNAcentral.
UUAGGUUUUCUUCAUUUUCUUCUGGAAGUUUCCUAGGAUUCUUGUUGUUGAACGUUGAUGAAGAUGAUAUGAAGAUGAAAAAUAGAAGAAG